This is a long non-coding RNA of Vidua macroura (Pin-tailed whydah), 660 nucleotides long. RefSeq lists it as uncharacterized. NCBI's taxonomy places the organism in Eukaryota, Metazoa, Chordata, Aves, Passeriformes, Viduidae. The transcript has 3 exons. The record is from RefSeq and is a predicted model, not a curated record.
CCUCCUCGGCUCGGGCCGCCGCCGCUUUGCCCUCCCUGUCCCGCCGCCACCGCGACAGGUAGCUGGUCACCCGUGUCCUGCCAGGAGCACAUGCCAGCGCCAGGGACAUCCCAGGAUGCUUGAGGACAGAAUGUCACCUGAAUGAGCUACUCCCUACACUAACCAGAAGGUGACUGGACAAUUUACUGUGUACUUAUUGAAAGGAAGGCUAAAGAAUCAUUUUUGUUGUCAGGAGUAGCUUAUGGGAAAAACUUCAGUGUUCUACAGCUGGAUCAGCCCUUCCCUUCUGUUCCCAGACUUCAGUCCCAUCAUGCAGGAGGACCACAGGUGGAGGUACAGCCUGGGGAGCCCCAGCAAGAGGUGAGGCACUUCUAAACCUGAGGCACAAAUGUGCCAAACAGGAGGAUCAUGCACUGCUCAGCAAGAUGAUAAGAAAGGAGUUUAUCAGUACAGGAACUUGACCAUCUGAGUGGUGAGAGAAUCAUUGAAUGCUAAGAGAAAUUACUUUGGUUGCUUACAAGUUUAACCUCUUUUUGUCACCAGCAUUGAGACCUAUGAAGCUGGUCCCUUUCUAGGGCAUCUUUACAGAGACACAGAGAUACAGUGGAGAGGAUCCAAUGUAAAAGAAAAAAACAAAUAAAACAAACAGUGCAAGCAAGA